This 492-nucleotide ribosomal RNA is filed under the name uncultured bacterium. Its description in RNAcentral is "partial 16S ribosomal RNA". It matches the Rfam family "Bacterial small subunit ribosomal RNA", at positions 30 to 507 of the family's 1533-position model. The record is from RNAcentral.
AUUGAACGCUGGCGGCAGGCCUAACACAUGCAAGUCGAACGGCAGCACAGUACUAGCUUGUGGGUACAGGGGCCGACGGGUGGGCGAGGCAUGGAUAAAUCGGAGGCUGCGUUGGCUUGGGUCAGGACGUAGGGGAUAUUACGCCAAUAGCGCAGAGGGCCUACGGGUGAAAUCAUGGGAUCUUCGGCCCUCGCGUGAGUGUAGGAGCCGAUGGCGGAUUAGCUAGUUGGCGGGGUAAAGGCCCACCAAGGCGACGAUCCGUAGCUGGUCUGAGAGGAUGAUCAGCCACACUGGAACUGAGACACGGUCCAGACUCCUACGGGAGGCAGCAGUGGGGAAUAUUGGACAAUGGGCGAAAGCCUGAUCCAGCCAUACCGCGUGGGUGAAGAAGGCCUUCGGGUUGUAAAGCCCUUUUGUUGGGAAAGAAAAGCAGGAGGUUAAUACCCCGCUGUUCUGACGUUACCAAAAGAAUAAGCACCGGCUAACUUCGUG